Molecule: ribosomal RNA, 434 nt
Filed under: uncultured Enterobacter sp.
Lineage: Bacteria; Pseudomonadati; Pseudomonadota; Gammaproteobacteria; Enterobacterales; Enterobacteriaceae
Description: bacterial SSU rRNA
Rfam family: Bacterial small subunit ribosomal RNA
Source: RNAcentral
GACGCGAAGAACCUUACCUACUCUUGACAUCCAGAGAACUUAGCAGAGAUGCUUUGGUGCCUUCGGGAACUCUGAGACAGGUGCUGCAUGGCUGUCGUCAGCUCGUGUUGUGAAAUGUUGGGUUAAGUCCCGCAACGAGCGCAACCCUUAUCCUUUGUUGCCAGCGGUUCGGCCGGGAACUCAAAGGAGACUGCCAGUGAUAAACUGGAGGAAGGUGGGGAUGACGUCAAGUCAUCAUGGCCCUUACGAGUAGGGCUACACACGUGCUACAAUGGCGCAUACAAAGAGAAGCGACCUCGCGAGAGCAAGCGGACCUCAUAAAGUGCGUCGUAGUCCGGAUUGGAGUCUGCAACUCGACUCCAUGAAGUCGGAAUCGCUAGUAAUCGUAGAUCAGAAUGCUACGGUGAAUACGUUCCCGGGUCUUGUACACACCG